GUAGUACUCCCUCCGUUCCGAAUUACUUGUCGCAUGUAUGGAUGUAUCUAGAUGUAUUUUAGUUCUAGAUACAUCCAUUUCUGUGAUGAGUAAUUUGGAACGGAGGGAGUACAAA
Molecule: non-coding RNA, 115 nt
Organism: Triticum aestivum (bread wheat)
Lineage: Eukaryota; Viridiplantae; Streptophyta; Magnoliopsida; Poales; Poaceae
Source: Rfam